This 41-nucleotide non-coding RNA is filed under the name Chloropicon primus. The record is from RNAcentral. Lineage: Eukaryota; Viridiplantae; Chlorophyta; Chloropicophyceae; Chloropicales; Chloropicaceae.
CAGGAAGGAAGCAGCAACAAAAGAGGUGUGCGUGCGUGCGG